RNAcentral lists this long non-coding RNA (945 nucleotides) under Cricetulus griseus (Chinese hamster). Its description in RNAcentral is "lncRNA (ENSCGRG00000025592.1)". The record is from RNAcentral. Lineage: Eukaryota; Metazoa; Chordata; Mammalia; Rodentia; Cricetidae.
CUCUUCUUAGUCUCCCUAUUCUGCCGGGCCUUAUAAUAAACUUAUAAUCUUAUGUCUCAUGUCUCAGCAUUUCUCUUCCUUUUAAACAAAAGAAUAACAGGGAGCACAUUGAGUUUGUGAGAAGGUAGAAGCUUGGCACUGUAGAAGGAAUGUCAUCCAGGCUCUGCCAGCCCCACACCAGCCUCCUUGUCUCUCCAGAAUGCUAGGAGUCUGAGGGUACUCUGUAACAACCAUCAGAUAUUCCCAAUCCAUCUAAGACCCAUAACUAUCCACCUGUCUAGCCAGGCAGUCUUUAUUGAGUAUCUACUAAAUGACAGACUCUCAUUACAGAAGCACGUGCCUGCCAUCUAUGUGGGGGUGGGUGGGUAAACAUGUAAAAAGAAAAUCAUGGACAUGACCUCGUGUGACUAAGCAAUGCAUGACUGGCACAGAAUUUCUACCCGGUCAUUGAGGCCUUCCUGAAGUGUGGGGGAGGGACUGCCCCAGUGCCUUGGGAGUGAGUAAGGUUUGAAGCAUGGAGUAAGAGACCAGCAUGCAGCCUUGGCAUGAGUGGGGUGCUUGUGUGAGAAUACGGAAGUUACCAGGAUAAGGUCCUGGAGAGGUGAUUGGAAGUUGCCCAGCCGAGUCCCACUGAAGAGGCAGCACUCAGUUUCCUGUGCUCACUCAGAGCCUUGGUAUCUGGAUGUCACCAGUUCCCCUGUUGGGGCAAGAAACCUGCCCAGGUCACUUCUCUCUUUCUACUGAGACCUUUCAGUCACUCAGCUGGAGCUGGUGGAUAUGGAGGACUCCAGCCCUGGGAGUGUAAGUAUGUAAGGGGAGGACUCCUCCCACUUCCCCUCCUUAGCAGGUGAGGGUGUGACUGGAGAAAGGAAGACAAGAUAGAUUAGCACCCGGGGAAGACUGGCUGUGGCCUUCCUGCUGUUGGCUUGUACUGCAGUCUGGCCA